Molecule: ribosomal RNA, 253 nt
Filed under: uncultured bacterium
Lineage: Bacteria
Also listed under: 2 other names
Description: partial 16S ribosomal RNA
Rfam family: Bacterial small subunit ribosomal RNA
Source: RNAcentral
UACGUAGGGUGCAGGCGUUAAUCGGAAUUACUGGGCGUAAAGCGUGCGCAGGCGGCUCCUUAAGUCAGAUGUGAAAGCCCCGGGCUUAACCUGGGAACUGCGUUUGAAACUGGGGAGCUGGAGUGUAGAAGAGGGGGGUGGAAUUCCAGGUGUAGCAGUGAAAUGCGUAGAGAUCUGGAGGAACACCGAUGGCGAAGGCAGCCCCCUGGGCUAACACUGACGCUCAUGCACGAAAGCGUGGGGAGCAAACAGG